RNAcentral lists this small RNA (736 nucleotides) under Pongo abelii (Sumatran orangutan). Its description in RNAcentral is "retained intron". Lineage: Eukaryota; Metazoa; Chordata; Mammalia; Primates; Hominidae. The record is from RNAcentral.
GUUGCCCCGAGACACAUGGGCCAAGGAGGGGUCAGCGGCGAAUUCUUUCGGCCUGUUGGGGACCCCUCGCGUCCCCGCGCCAGGCUGGACCUCCCGUAUGAACUCUUCGCAUCGGCGGCGGCUUCCGUCACCUCCGCUCCCCCGAUCCUACUCCCAGUCGUCCACGUCCACCCAGGACUCCACCUGUCUCCAGGAGUCAGAAUUUCCUGUUUCUUCAAAAGACCGUUCCUGUCCCCAGAAUUUGGACCUGUUCGCGUGCAGUGGUCUGGAGCCUCACACACCCAGUGUUGGUUCCCAGGAAUCGGUGACUUUCCAAGAUGUCGCUGUGGACUUUACCGAGAAGGAGUGGCCCUUGCUGGAUUCUUCUCAGAGAAAACUGUACAAAGAUGUAAUGCUGGAAAACUAUAGCAACCUCACUUCACUGGGUAAGGCCAGUGCCAUUUCUCCACUUAUUCAUUCAUGAAUUAGAUGUUUUUGUUUGAGUAUGUUCUGUGACCCAGGAACUAUGCAGGGGUUCAGAACACAGCUGUGAACAAGCAGCCCCAGCACCCAUGCUCAUGGGGACUCUCCUGGGUAUUGAGACCCGUCCAUCGCAGGGACCUUGGGGGUUCUCCGGUGUGUGUCUGAGCUUGGCAUGGGCUUUUGAAAUACGAAAUCCUCAUUCUUUUGGAGGGUCAGUGUGUGGGUAUUUGUGAUCUUAUUUCCUAUUUCAUUUUUUUUUUUAAUUUAUUUUUGG